RNAcentral lists this non-coding RNA (45 nucleotides) under Schistosoma mansoni. Lineage: Eukaryota; Metazoa; Platyhelminthes; Trematoda; Strigeidida; Schistosomatidae. The record is from RNAcentral.
AUCCAACUAAUGAGUCCUAAAUAAGACGAAACGCGAGUCCUGAAU